RNAcentral lists this signal recognition particle RNA (294 nucleotides) under Cebus imitator (Panamanian white-faced capuchin). RNAcentral describes it as "Metazoan signal recognition particle RNA (ENSCCAG00000007604.1)". It matches the Rfam family "Metazoan signal recognition particle RNA". Rfam says of the family: The signal recognition particle (SRP) is a universally conserved ribonucleoprotein. Lineage: Eukaryota; Metazoa; Chordata; Mammalia; Primates; Cebidae. The record is from Rfam by way of RNAcentral.
GCCAAGCACAGUGAUGUGUGCCUGUGGUCCCAGCUACUCAAAAGGCUGUGGCAGAAGAAUAAGCCAGGAAUUCUUGAGCCCAAGAGCUCUAGGCUGUGUGUGCUAUAUUGAUCAAGUGUCCGUGCUAAGUUCAGCCUCAAUAUGGUGACCUCUGAUAAGCAGGAUUGUCUAAAGAGUGGUGAACAGGCCCACGAUGGAAAUGGAGCAGGUCAAACUGUGCUGAUCUGUGGUGGGAUCGUGACUGUGAAUAGCCACUGCAUUCCACCCUGGACAACAUAGUGGGACUCCGUCUCU